GAUGAAGAACGCAGCGAAAUGCGAUAAGUAAUGUGAAUUGCAGAAUUCAGUGAAUCAUCGAAUCUUUGAACGCACAUUGCGCCCGCCAGCAUUCUGGCGGGCAUGCCUGUCCGAGCGUCAUUUCAACCCUCAGGGUCCCUCCGCCUCGCGCGGUCGGAGCCUGGUGUUGGGGAUCGGCCCGCCCCGCGCGGCGCCGUCCCCCAAAUACAGUGGCGGUCCCGCCGCAGCCUCCCCUGCGCAGUAGUUAUCAACUCGCACUGGAGCGCGGCGCGGCCACGCCGUAAAACCCCAACUUCUGAAUGUUGACCUCGGAUCAGGUAGGAAUACCCGCUGAACUUAAGCAUAUCAAUAGCGGAGGA
Molecule: unclassified non-coding RNA, 359 nt
Filed under: soil metagenome
Description: partial contains 5.8S ribosomal RNA, internal transcribed spacer 2, and large subunit ribosomal RNA
Rfam family: 5.8S ribosomal RNA (bases 1-120)
Source: RNAcentral